UUCCUUGUCGGGUAAGUUCCGACCUGCACGAAUGGCGUAAUGAUGGCCAGGCUGUCUCCACCCGAGACUCAGUGAAAUUGAACUCGCUGUGAAGAUGCAGUGUACCCGCGGCAAGACGGAAAGACCCCGUGAACCUUUACUAUAGCUUGACACUGAACAUUGAGCCUUGAUGUGUAGGAUAGGUGGGAGGCUUUGAAGUGUGGACGCCAGUCUGCAUGGAGCCGACCUUGAAAUACCACCCUUUAAUGUUUGAUGUUCUAACGUUGACCCGUAAUCCGGGUUGCGGACAGUGUCUGGUGGGUAGUUUGACUGGGGCGGUCUCCUCCUAAAGAGUAACGGAGGAGCACGAAGGUUGGCUAAUCCUGGUCGGACAUCAGGAGGUUAGUGCAAUGGCAUAAGCCAGCUUGACUGCGAGCGUGACGGCGCGAGCAGGUGCGAAAGCAGGUCAUAGUGAUCCGGUGGUUCUGAAUGGAAGGGCCAUCGCUCAACGGAUAAAAGGUACUCCGGGGAUAACAGGCUGAUACCGCCCAAGAGUUCAUAUCGACGGCGGUGUUUGGCACCUCGAUGUCGGCUCAUCACAUCCUGGGGCUGAAGUAGGUCCCAAGGGUAUGGCUGUUCGCCAUUUAAAGUGGUACGCGAGCUGGGUUUAGAACGUCGUGAGACAGUUCGGUCCCUAUCUGCCGUGGGCGCUGGAGAACUGAGGGGGGCUGCUCCUAGUACGAGAGGACCGGAGUGGACGCAUCACUGGUGUUCGGGUUGUCAUGCCAAUGGCACUGCCCGGUAGCUAAAUGCGGAAGAGAUAAGUGCUGAAAGCAUCUAAGCACGAAACUUGCCCCGAGAUGAGUUCUCCCUGACUCCUUGAG
This 863-nucleotide ribosomal RNA is filed under the name Escherichia coli O26:H11. Its description in RNAcentral is "bacterial LSU rRNA". It matches the Rfam family "Bacterial large subunit ribosomal RNA", at positions 1965 to 2825 of the family's 2925-position model. Lineage: Bacteria; Pseudomonadati; Pseudomonadota; Gammaproteobacteria; Enterobacterales; Enterobacteriaceae. The record is from RNAcentral.